This is an RNA transcript of Carlito syrichta (Philippine tarsier), 899 nucleotides long. It is a transcript of the gene named 40S ribosomal protein S2 pseudogene, with no coding region annotated. The record is from RefSeq and is a predicted model, not a curated record. The transcript has a single exon. NCBI's taxonomy places the organism in Eukaryota, Metazoa, Chordata, Mammalia, Primates, Tarsiidae.
AUGGCAGAUGACUCCGGUGCAGCGGGAGGGCCUGGAGGCCCCGGGGCCCCGGAAUGGGAAGCCGCAGUGGCUUUCGCGGCCGCUGCCGAGGUCCCAGCCAGGGUCGGGGGCGGGGGCGAGGCCGAGGACAAGGAGUGGAUGCCCGUCACCAGGUUGGGCUGCUUGGUCAAGGACAUGAAGAUCAAGUCACUGGAGGAGAUCUAUCUCUUCUCCCUGCCUAUCAAGGGGUCUGAAAUCAUCGACUUUUUCCUUGGUGCCUCUCUGAAGGAUGAAGUUUUGAAGAUCAUGCCUGUGCAAAAGCAGACUCGCGCUGGCCAGCGGACUAGGUUCAAGGCGUUUGUUGCCAUCGGGGACUACAAUGGCCACGUCGGUCUAGGUGCUCCAAAGAAGUAGCCACCGCCAUUAAGUGCUCCAAAGAAGUAGCCACCGCCAUUCUGGGGCCAUCAUCCUAGCCAAGCUGUGUCCAUUGUCCCUGUGCGGAGAGGCUACUGGGGGAACAAGAUUGGCAAACCCCACACUGUCCCUCGCAAGGUGACUGGCCGCCGUGGCUCUGUCCUGGUGCGCCUUAUCCCUGCCCCCAGGAGCACUGGCAUCAUCUCGCCCCCCGUGCCUAAGAAACUGCUCAUGAUGGCUGGCAUUGAUGACUGCUACACCUCAGCCAGGGGCUGCACUGCCACCCUGGGUAAUUUCGCCAAGGCCACCUUUGAUGCCAUCUCUAAGACUUACAGCUACUUGACCCCUCACCUCUGGAAAGAGAUAGUGUUCACCAAGUCUCCUUAUCAGGAAUUCACGGACCAUCUCGUCAAGACCCACACCAGAGUCUCCAUGCAGAGGACCCAGGCUCCAGCGGUGGCAACGACAUAGGGUUUUCAUACAAAAAAAUAAAGUGAACCAAGCCA